Long non-coding RNA from Canis lupus familiaris (dog), 1434 nucleotides. RefSeq lists it as uncharacterized. Lineage: Eukaryota; Metazoa; Chordata; Mammalia; Carnivora; Canidae. The record is from RefSeq and is a predicted model, not a curated record. The transcript has 7 exons.
CCAUGACCUGAUGCUCACGCUCCGUCACUGCCAUGAUGUUGAUUAAAACUGGAGCUCUGGAAAAACAAAACGACUUGGCAUAAACCAGACUUGGCCUUCGAAGACUUACCCCUGGGGAUGUUUAUGUUCUAAAGUAGAUUAUUUAUUAAUGAUCCCACAUGAACUCAGACUGUACGAUCAUUACCGAUUAGCCACGUUUCUUGUUUGUUUUCUUAAGGGAAAGAACUUUGCUUUGAGCUCUGUUCUGCAAAAUUCACAGAAACCAAUUUUAAAUCUUCAGGAUAUCAUGUGUUCUAAAUUAUCUUCUUUACCUUUACUGAGAACUGCGUCUACAGAGAAGCAUGAAAUCAAGAGAGGCAGAGAUGAGAUAAAUGUGAAAGCAUCCAACUCAGACAUGGCACAGAGCAGCUUUUGCCAACAUUUUAUUCCAGAAGGGAAAGCUUUGCCAAUGUAAUGCAACCACGGAAAUGAUAAAAAUAUAUAAAGAAAAAAAAAAGACUUUCUUCCUAACCUCUUUGCUUUCUGACACUUGCCUCGGUAUCCAAUGUUAACAACCAGAUGCCAGAGCAUAUGAGCAGGAUACAGUAAAGGGAGAGGGAGAAGCAGACUCCCCCUAAAUGGAGAGCCUGAUGGGCUCAAUCCUAGGACCCCGAGGUCAUGAUCUGAGCCAAAGGCAGACGCUUCACCAACCAAGCCACCCAGGACUGAAAAAAGAAUCAAAGGCAUUGAAUACAUGGGCAUGAGUCAUUGAACAAAUAUUUAGUGAGAUCUAGGUGUCUUGAUUUACACAGUGAAGAAACUAAACAGCAUGCCUUUCAUUAUCAGCUCUUGAAGAUUCUGAUAAUCAUGACUCUCCUUAUGCAACUGGGGACUGCUUAGCCAAGACCCUGCUCCUGGAGAGUGAGCAAAUAAACACGUUUAUAAGAAACAGAUGGUAGUACGGAGACUUUUCAUUGUAACAAAUAGUGUGUCAAGAUGAUGACUUUCUUCUCAAAGAAUCGCAAAGAACUGGGAUUUCCUUUGGUGUGAGAGUUACUGACCGGAUGCACACUGUGUGCCCAAACACUGCUCUAGAUGCUGAGGAUAAAAGAAUAAAAUCAAACAAAAGCCCCUCUUCACGAAGCUCACAUUCCAGUGUAGCAACAUGAACAUCAAAGAAAUGAACAAAUCAAUGUAUAAUAAAAUGUCAGAAAGUGACCCUCAAAUUGGCGAGGAUUGCUUAUAUUAGAGAUGCCAGAAUAUGAUAGGAUUAUAACUUCUACCAUCAGAAGAGUGCUUUGAAGCAUGAAUUUUGCAUCAGAAAGACAUCAUCCAUGAAUGUGUAAGACAGCAUUCACAGCUCCCUUGGUCUUUCCAGCUUUGAGCUAGCUUCCCAACUUUUCCCACUAAAUCACUCACUACACAGGCCCCUUAUUUUACCUCAUCAUAAAGAUC